RNAcentral lists this long non-coding RNA (1021 nucleotides) under Pan troglodytes (chimpanzee). RNAcentral describes it as "long non-coding RNA NONPTRT011725". The record is from RNAcentral. Lineage: Eukaryota; Metazoa; Chordata; Mammalia; Primates; Hominidae.
CAGGCCCUCCUCCCCACAGAGAGGUCAUCGUAUGCUAAUGAAGUCCGAGGAGGCAGCGGCGCAGCGCGGGAGAGCGCGCCCACGGGUUCACAGCGCUCCCGGGCCCCACUGCGGCGCAGCCACAAAUCGCUUCGCGCUGCAGCAGACCCUCCCGCCGCGGGGGGCGACUGGGGGAGGGGUCUCGACCGCCACCCUGAGUUCCGCAGCUGGAUCCCUCCCAUCUGGGAGGUGGUUCUAGCUCUAGUCCCAAGCUUUCCACUGCAGUGAUGGCGGGGAUGGGGGCAGCACGUCAAAUCACCUGUAGGGCUUUUUAGAACUCCACAGCCCCCUCCCCUAAUUCUAUUCCACUAGUUCAAACGAAGAAAAUCUCAGACUAGGCAAGGGGAGGUGGACCGGUGGAGUCUGCGAAAGCACCACAGGUGACUCCGGGUACGCACUCCUCAGGACACAAACACACACACGGACACAUCUUGUGACUCUGAGACUACACAGAUCAACCUUAGAUUCGACCCUUCCCUCCUUUAUUCUCUGGGGUGUCCGUGUUCUCUUCAGCUUCCCUUUAAGUCGCCCUGCGCAGGGGCUUUGUGGAGUGCCCCCAAAGUCCUAGAACCCCGCGGGACGGUCGGAGGCUUUGGCGGCCAGACAUUAGGAAAAGCAUCUCCUGCUUCUCGGACUGCCCGGAGCGCGAACUGGAUAUCAAGGAGCCAAGGUUCCCAUGGCAACCCCAUUAAAUUGCCCAAACGCAGUGGUGAGCAGGAAGCAAGGAAAACCAAGAUGGAACAAGGUUCUUGAGACACACCUCACAUUGCAUCCAGGUACCAACAUAUAUACCUUCUCUGCCGGUGUGGAUAAUUUCUCCUUAAGACUGACUUUAAUCUCCAGGUGAGCUUGUAAUUAAACUGGAGCUCAUUUUCCUAUAGAAACACAUGAACACGUGGUAAUUACAUUCCAGACCAGUACAUACACUGGAUACCAUAUCACUCAUAAAGUCGUUGCCGAGAAUCCGAAUGGUUGUCUAAAG